Molecule: long non-coding RNA, 475 nt
Filed under: Erythranthe guttata (spotted monkey flower)
Lineage: Eukaryota; Viridiplantae; Streptophyta; Magnoliopsida; Lamiales; Phrymaceae
Description: long non-coding RNA (EGUT_LNC003765)
Source: RNAcentral
UGAACUAAAAGAAGCAGAAGAACCGAUUGAACCGGUUGAAGGCAUUCCACAUGCCUGAGUAGUUGUAGCAUAAUCAGCUUGUACUUGGCAAAUAAUUGUUCAAAGCCGCGCUUCACUUGGUCUUUUAAUGCCAGACUCUUUUCAUUACCAAUUCCAUCAUCAUACACUGACUGGAUCGAGAAGUUAGGGUAUCCAUAUUUGCGGCGUGGAUCAAGAAUCACUGCAUAAAACAUAACCUUGUUCAUUUUUUAAAUUGCUCCCCAAUAUUUGACAAAUUUAUCCUUCAUUCUCUUUCCCAUUGCAUUCAAUUAAAAUCAUCACUCUCCGACCAUUCUUUAAGAAGCAAGUCCACCUCACUUAUUUCACUAAAGAUGUUGUUAGACGUGACAUAUAAUGAUCCAAAAAUGUGGACAGUAAGAUUAUAAAAGUGGCUCAAAAUUUUCAAAAGUAAUGUAGCUCUCUCCCAAUCAUAAAU